This is a long non-coding RNA of Myotis myotis, 648 nucleotides long. RefSeq lists it as uncharacterized. NCBI's taxonomy places the organism in Eukaryota, Metazoa, Chordata, Mammalia, Chiroptera, Vespertilionidae. The transcript has 2 exons. The record is from RefSeq and is a predicted model, not a curated record.
AUGGGGUCUGACUGGAGCAUGACAGAGAGGAAGUUCAAGUGCGCCACAAGUUAAAGUGAAGCCAUGAUUCUAAUGAAAGACUAAUGUGGUCUACUGAAUAAAUCGGAAGAUGCUGGUCAGAGGCUCCUGGGUCGGGGUACGGUGGGGACCCGGUUUGGGAUGGUAAGGGUCUGUGGAGAGAGUACCUGCAGUGACUGCAGCUUGAAAGGGGCUCUCCUUGGAGGAACAGGCACCACGCAGAGAACUGAACACAGCAGCCAGUGAACUUGUUUGGAAGAUCAUCAACGCGAUGGCUGGAGCCCCAGCUGCCACACUGGACUGUGAAGUGACUUGGAAGAUGGGAGCUAUGUAAGGAUGGGGGAACAAAAAGAUAGAGGAAACCGGAGCCUGGAUGACACCAUAACUCCCAUACCAGCCAGAUUCCAACUUCCUUUACAGGACAGAGAAAUAGGUUUCUGUCUUGUUGAAGUCUCUGUUAUUUCCUCAUUCAGCUGAGACAGCACACGCCUGGGGAUCUUGGGAAGGCUUUGAUUGAAGAGUGAGAAAUUGUGCCGUGUUGUAGAAUUGUGCACCUGAAACCUGUAGAAUUUUGUUAACCAGGGUCACUCCAACAAGUUUAAUAAAAAGGAAAAAAGAGUGAAAAAUUGG